UACGUAGGUGGCAAGCGUUGUCCUGAAUUAUUGGGCGUAAAGCGCGCGCAGGCGGCCUCUUAAGUCUGAUGUGAAAGCCCCCGGCUCAACCGGGGAGGGCCAUUGGAAACUGGGAGGCUUGAGUAUAGGAGAGAAGAGUGGAAUUCCACGUGUAGCGGUGAAAUGCGUAGAGAUGUGGAGGAACACCAGUGGCGAAGGCGACUCUCUGGGACGGUACUGACGCUGAGACGCGAAAGCGUGGGGAGCGAACAGG
This 253-nucleotide ribosomal RNA is filed under the name uncultured bacterium. Its description in RNAcentral is "partial 16S ribosomal RNA". It matches the Rfam family "Bacterial small subunit ribosomal RNA", at positions 524 to 776 of the family's 1533-position model. The record is from RNAcentral.